UUUUCAGUUCCUUCAAUAGUUAUUAGAGCAGCUCGAGUAUUUUUAUUGUUUUAUUUUUUAAUAUAAAUUUCCAGAUUAAUUCAUGCAUAGAAGAGGCAAUGGUUUGGAAAACUACAUUACAUUUAGUAGAAAUAAAAGGUCAACGUCGCGAUGAAGGAGGCGAACCUCCUCCUGAAUGUGAGACAAACCUACACGUUGUCUGUUUUUUUAAAGAUUUUAAACAUACCCGCUGUGUUUAAACAGCGCCGUUUAUAAAGCAUCACCUCUGAAUUAUUAUCCAGCGCGUGCUCGUCACUAAUGAAUAUGUUUCUCGCUCUGUAUUUAGUUAUUCCGUGUCUGAAUGGGUCCGUCUCUGCCUCUUUUUCCUGCCACUGUAUCUAAAACAGUGCAUUAACAUCUGCAGCCCAUUUAGUGCUGCUGACACCAGGCUAAUAACAGUGUGUGUGUGUGUGUGUGUGUGUGUGUGUGUGUGUGUGUGUGUGUGUGUGUGUGUUAGCGCGUAGCUUAAGCACCAGCCAACAAGCACAGCUGAAAGGUGUCACCGAGGCUCCUACGCCUCCUCUAACAGUUACUGAUUCAGGGGGCGCUUGUUGUUUUUUUUUCCGUCUUCUUCUUCUUCUGUUUUUUUGUUUUUGUUUUUUUGUUGUCUGUGUGUGUGUGUGUGUGUGUGCGGCCUCAAGCUGCCGGCUUUAAAGGAACAUCCUUUUUUAGAAAAAUGCCGCAUGUGUUCGACAUCCAGUCGGUUGUUGUUUCCAGCGUGCUUCAGUGGCUGUAAUGGCCGAGUUAUUAGAGGUAAUCAAAACGCCUCAGAAGAGGUCGACGUCCGCCAACACCUGAGGGACUAGUUUCUCAUAUCUGGAGGUGAAGUGAUGGAGCUGAUCGGUGCAUGCAGAUGGAGAGGAGGGGGUGGGCGUUAAAUACAAAAAAAAUUAAUAACAAAAAAGACCCCUCGCCUAUUCUCCCGCUCUCUCUCUUUCCCCGCAUUGUUAUUUGUCCAUUUCAAAUUAUUGAUCUUUUACAAAUAUUUUUCAAGGUAUCUUAAUUACUCGCAAAAGAAGCGGCGCCUUGGCCGGCGGACAACACAAAUAAGUUAAUUUGCAUUUCUGUGUUGUGAGUGUUUUGGCAGGCGCCGCGCCGGUCCAGAUUGUAACCCCUAUUUCUGCCUCCAAAAACCUGCCUUGGAGGAGCGUCCACGGAGGGAUUAGGGAUUUAGUGGGGAAGGUAAGUGUGACUACAAGCUUUGGCUCGCCAUCUGCUCCCCAGCAGAGUUGAGGCCAACCUGUGCAGCCUGCAGCAAAGACCUGGGCACUGUGCUAACUCUGGUUUGAGCCAACCUGGCGCCCGCGGCCCCAAUCACCAACAGUCUGCUGAUUAGUUGUAAGAAGCACUCCAUAUGUAGCAAAGUUUUUUUUUCUCUGUCUCCUUCCCUUCCUUCCUCUCCUCCUUAUGUAUUCUCUCGCCGCAUUAAAUAAAUAUGGAUGUAUGGACUUUUUUUUUUUUUUUUUUUUAGCACAUGGCAGAUCGCCUUCGGUUGUCUGGCAGGGCGAAAACAAGCCUGUUCUCCUAGCUCUUCCUCCCUCUCACCUCUGACAGAAUACCAAGCCAGGGAAGAGAAAGAAGAUGAAGAAGAAGAAAUCCUGGCUGUCCUCCUCUCUUCUUCUCCUUCCCUCCCUUGCUCUCGCUUGCCUGGCAGCGCCGGGAGACAGAUGACAAGGGUUUGUGGCCGUCUGAUCACCCCUGGAGAUCUGACCGGAGGAGCUGCAGGUGCUUCACAUCCACUUUUACCACCAGAUAUCAGCCGAGCUGUCAGACGCUGCUGAGGUAAGACUCGACUCUCUGCUGUCUCCUUUUCGGGUUGAAGCUCCUGCAGGCCUCGGUCACGUCAGCUCCGUGACAUCAAAGUGACCGUGACAGCGCAGCAAACCGGCCGUGACGGGCGCCUUUUUUGUCUUUUCCGUGGUCAGGUCCGCAUCGUCUGGCCCGUGGACGACUGUAAUUGCGCCGACAGGUGACACAUCUGUGGAAACCAAGAAGAUGAUGCGGGGGGAGAUCAUGUGACCUGCACAUCACGAGCCUCCUCCGAGUACGGUCUGUGGAUGAAUAUUUAGAGCUCACGCCCCGGAGAGAAACUGCCCGUGUUAUCGAGAGUUCAAGGUCGCCGUGCGGCUAUUUCCAGCUCGUCUUCGCUUUGAUCCGUGUCGCAAAAUGACAAGGUAACGCAACUCGGGGGGUCAGCUGUGUUACAGGAAUGCUUCCACGGAUCGGGAAAGAGAAAAUCAAUCCUGCCUGACAGUGUCUUCAGGAUACUCCGACCUGACUGGACGAUGACAACUACACACACACACGCACACAGAAGAUGGUGUAUACACAUGCAUAGAUAAACACUUGAACUCACACUAACAUUCACACACGUACACAAACAAACACUUGUAGUGCACACAAACACAAGCCGCGACCAAAUAUAGCGCAUGCACACACUCCAGCUGUCUCUGCGUCUGACACGGACGACCUCUGUCAGCUCCGGGUUUCGCCUGUCGUCUCGUCAAGGUGCAUCAGAGAGACAAGGUGUCGGCCAAAAAGUUCAUCGACGGCUAACCGCUUCUGAAAAGUUCGGCGCCGCACAAAAUGUUUCGAGGGACGAGAGAAAGAUGAAGUGGUCACAGACGACCCUUUAACGUCUGUGAUGAUGGAUGUCAAACAUGGUGUAAAAAAUUAAAAUACAGUUUUACCUCCACAAGUUAACACCUCAUUUUAGUUCAUAACUAAUGGAUGUAUGCGACCUACUGAACCCAAAUAUCACAAGAAAACUUUAAAUUACGUUCCACCACAUCCUUGUUCGGCCCUCAUCAGGUGGUCGACCACAAACGGAGUUCGACGGCACCAUCGACCGCGUGCUGGAGGAAUUUGAGGUGGAGCUGGUGUGUCUGGCUGGAUUCAUGAGGAUCCUCACAGGGAUGUUUGUCAGGAAAUGGAUGUGUGGUGUGUGAAUACUAACCAUGUUCACCAUCUGAUGGGUCAAAAGAAGGUCGUUCAAGGGCGUGAACGCACAGAAGCAGGCUCUGCAGGCUGGGGUGCGGGUUGCAAGCUGCACAGUCCACUUCGGAGCAGAGAUGGUGCCGGUACUGGGCGGCGACACGGAGGAGAGCCUGUCAGAGAGGAUCAGAGAGGCCGAGCACCGAGCCUUCCCCGCCGCCAUGGAGCUGGUUGCGGCAACGUCGGCCUGGCAGAUAACGGACGUGUCACAUGGAAGUCGAAGACACACUAACAAAGCAGAAAACACAUUUACUGUCACCCUGUAGAGUUUGGUAGAUAAAAUAACAUUUCAACUUCCUGUGUAAAGAAACGACACAAUUUGAAACAUUCCAAUGUUACCUUGUGAAAAUUAAUGAACGUCUGUAUAUUGAAAGUGUUAUUUCAUGAUUAAAUCUUCCUGGAUAUGUAGGUAGGUUGGUUCAUAUGAAUGUAUGUAGGUAUGUUCGUACGAAUGUAUGUAUGUAUGUACAAAUGUAUGUAUAUUCAUAUGAAUGAAUGAAUGUAUGUUCGAAUGAAUGUAUGCUCAUGUUUGUAUGUGUGUAUGUAGAGAGAGAGACUCAAAAUCUGUUAAGCAGGUCGUCCUGCUCCAGGGGUUGGAUUGGAUCCAAACGAAAGACAGGUGAUCAAAUAUGUGGCCCUGUAGCUCAGUUUGGUAGACCGCCGCUUGUAAGCUGUGAAGUUGUGAGUUGGAAUGUUAUGAGGUGCAGUCGGUUUUGAAGGCUGCGUCCAAAAGGAAGAGUGUCAACUCAGAGAAAACACAUCUCCACCUGUGUGGGCCGAUAGCGCAGACUGGUAGAGCGCCGCCUGUAACCUGCCCAAAUGCUCAGAGGUCAUGGAAGGACUGAGGUCUGAGUUCAAUCCCUUAAAUCUAAAAGGCUGUAUCCAAACGGGUUGGAUUGGAUCCAAAAGAAAGAGUGGAAGCUAGAGGUGAUUAUCUGUGUUGACCUUUAGCUCAGUUUGGUAGAGCGCCGCCUGAAAGUAAGCGCUGAAGUCGUGGGUUCGAAUCUUACGAGGUGCAGUUCGUUUUGAGGUCUACGUCCAAAAGGAAGAGUGUAAACUCCGAGAAAAAACAUCUCCACGUAUGUGGGCCGAUAGCGCAGAUUGGUAGAGCGCCGACUGUAAGCGGUGAAGUCGUGGGUUCGAAUCUUACGCGGUGCAGUUCGUUUUGAGGUCUGCGUCCAAAAGGAAGAGUGUAAACUCCGAGAAAAAACAUCUCUGCCUGUGUAGACUGAUAGCGCAGAUUGGUAGAGCGCCGCCUGUAAAUGGUGAAGUCGUGGGUUCGAAUCUUAUGAGGUGCAGUGGCUUUUGAGGGCUGCGUCUGAAAGGAAGAGUGUAAACUGCGAGAAAAAACAUUUCUGCCUGUGUGGACAGAUAGCUCAGAUUGGUAGAGCGCCGCUUGGAGCUUCUGGAGUUGUGGGUUCGAAUCUUAUGAGGUGCAGUCGGUUUUGAAGGCCAACACCCAAAGUUUAGACUUAAGAGCGCUCACAGUGAAGGUCUGACAGCAAAGGGUAUCUGGUGGCGUAGUGGAUUCGUUUCCGAACCGAAAGGCGCAAGUGGUGAAAGCGCUGGUUCGAAUCCCAGUCGGUACCUGGAGUUGGGUGGCAGUGGAGGGACGGGGAGGGGGGUGGUCCCUCCCCUGUUUCCAGAGAGGUAUAAAUAGGGGGUUAUACUACUCAACAGCACGUCUGGCUGACAGUUUACUGAGGCGGGG
Long non-coding RNA from Larimichthys crocea (large yellow croaker), 4744 nucleotides. RefSeq lists it as uncharacterized. Lineage: Eukaryota; Metazoa; Chordata; Actinopteri; Sciaenidae. The record is from RefSeq and is a predicted model, not a curated record. The transcript is spliced from 6 exons.